CACCCCCCAACCGCCCAAACCCCUUUCCCCUCACUUACUUACGGCUGUUAGCAGCCAACACCCCUCACUUUUAAUUUUUAAUUAUCUCACACACACUAAACACACACACAACUCACGCAUAUCUCCAUUGUUGAGGAGUUGGAGCUUUUGAGCUCCGUUUUGAGCGAGAAGACGAGCCCCGAUCAUCUUUUCGAACACGUAUCUAAGUAGGUCCUUUUGGGAAGUAACGACUUGAGGGAGAGAGUGACGUUACUCAUUGAUACAGAGACACAACGAGGUUGAGCUGAUGUGAUGAUGGUGCUGCAAUGAGCGGAGUCUCCAGGGUUGUUAAUAAAUAGUUAACCUGUCUAGAAUAUGUCUUCAUACAUAUGUCUAGCUACUUUCCGCUGCAAGAUGUUGUUGAUGUUAUAGUAUGUUAUGUCAUACUUUGAGUCUUAAGAGAAUGGUUUCAUACGAUGUAUAACUUGAUUAAUGAUAUUAAUUAAGUUUUAUGCUGUCUUUCA
Long non-coding RNA from Salvia miltiorrhiza (redroot sage), 503 nucleotides. RefSeq lists it as uncharacterized. The record is from RefSeq and is a predicted model, not a curated record. NCBI's taxonomy places the organism in Eukaryota, Viridiplantae, Streptophyta, Magnoliopsida, Lamiales, Lamiaceae. The transcript is spliced from 3 exons.